CGUAAUCUACUUUACUCUUAAAUAAAGCACUCUUUGCAGUACACAUUUACUAACGACUUUAAUCAAAACAUACAAACGUCUAAGAGUAAAGUAGAUUAAUCCAUGGUAAAUUCUUUUAUUAGUUAUGUUAUAGUAUUAUAAAAAAGAAAACAAGAUGAUGCAAUACCAACUUUGGUACACAAACAAAAAAUAUGACUUAAUUAAAAUAUAUGUCAUCUUUAUAUGUGAUUCAUUUAUAUCUUCCACAAUUCGAACAUUAUCUAUUUGUCACAUAUUUAUAAAUUAGGAUAAUAAUUUAUAAAUAUUAUAUUUAUUAUUAUUGUAAUUUUUUAUUUUUCACAAUUGGUGAGGUCAUUCUCUUUACAGUUUAACUUCUUUCUCAUAGAACAGUGUAUGAAUGCAUAUCUGAAUAGAGCUUGAAAAAUCACAUUCUUGUAUGCCACAGGAUUCAAUGAUCCUUCUGAAAUAUAAAUGGCUCUAUAUGUAGGCUUACUUAGACACUAAUAAUAUAAAUACAUUUCAACUUGCUGUAUUGAUAUUCAAUCUAACAAAUGAGUUUUUUUACAAUACAGUGUUAAUAUUAGAUUCUUAUUAGAAAACAUAUCUUUGAAAAACUACCAGAUUCUCUUUCUCUGUAACAGCAAAAAUGCUGCCAACCUUUUGUACAAAAGAGUUUAAACUGAUUGUGCAAUGCAUUUAUAAUGUCAUUUUCCAUGAACUUCUGUGACUCCUAUCAAAGAGUUAUCUCAGCACAAAUCUCUCUUUUAUCAAAAUUUAAGUAUAAGUGGCAAAUAAAAUGCAAAUAUCGAAAAUAUUAGCUGAUGGCACAUUAUUUUGUUGCAAAUGUUGAAAAAAAUCCUAUAAAGCUACAAAGUAACCACCUCAAUAUUUACCCAGGGAUACAAACUUUCAUAAUCAGUGCUAGGAAUUAUUCCAGAAGCUAUCCGUUUUCAAAUAAUUUAUUCAAAAAUUACACAAGAGAAGAAAAUGCAUGCUCAUCACUUUCAUUAUCUAUUUAUACCAGUAAGUCUGGAACAGGACAGACUUUAAUCUGAGAGUUGCAUAGUAACAUUGUCAUUCUAGCAGUUAUUUUAUUAUUUUUAUCAGUGUGAAUUAUUUUUUCUUUACUAAGAAUAAUGUAGAAAGUCUUUUAUGCAUGUGUGAAUGUGCAAAGGAUGUGAAAUCACACUUUAAUAAUAGUUAUUUAGUUGAAAAUGUUCCCAGAAAUAAAAAUUUUCCUGUUUAAGGCUUUAUAUGCUUUAUUUAUUAAAUCUUAUAAUGCAUAUAAUGAAUAAGGAAUUUAUAUCAUCCUAAGAUGAUAUUAAUUUAAU
RNAcentral lists this long non-coding RNA (1331 nucleotides) under Androctonus crassicauda. Lineage: Eukaryota; Metazoa; Arthropoda; Arachnida; Scorpiones; Buthidae. The record is from RNAcentral.